RNAcentral lists this ribosomal RNA (252 nucleotides) under uncultured bacterium. Its description in RNAcentral is "partial 16S ribosomal RNA". It matches the Rfam family "Bacterial small subunit ribosomal RNA", at positions 524 to 775 of the family's 1533-position model. The record is from RNAcentral.
UACGAAGGGGGCUAGCGUUGCUCGGAAUUACUGGGCGUAAAGGGCGCGUAGGCGGCACUGUUAGUCAGGCGUGAAAUUCCUGGGCUCAACCUGGGGACUGCGCUUGAUACGGCAGAGCUAGAGGAUGGAAGAGGCUCGCGGAAUUCCCAGUGUAGAGGUGAAAUUCGUAGAUAUUGGGAAGAACACCGGUGGCGAAGGCGGCGAGCUGGUCCAUUACUGACGCUGAGGCGCGACAGCGUGGGGAGCAACGAG